AGACGGGACCCGCACAAGCGGUGGAUGAUGUGGAUUAAUUCGAUGCAACGCGAAAACCUUACCUACCCUUGACAUGUCCGGAAUCCUGCAGAGAUGCGGGAGUGCCCGAAAGGGAAUCGGAACACAGGUGCUGCAUGGCUGUCGUCAGCUCGUGUCGUGAGAUGUUGGGUUAAGUCCCGCAACGAGCGCAACCCUUAUCAUUAGUUGCUACGCGAGGGCACUCUAAUGAGACUGCCGGUGACAAACCGGAGGAAGUGGGGAUGACGUCAAGUCCUCAUGGCCCUUAUGGGUAGGGCUUCACACGUCAUACAAUGGUCGGUACAGAGGGUUGCCAAGCCGCGAGGUGGAGCCAAUCCCAGAAAGCCGAUCGUAGUCCGGAUUGUUCUCUGCAACUCGAGAGCAUGAAGUCGGAAUCGCUAGUAAUCGCGGAUCAGCAUGUCGCGGUGAAUACGUUCCCGGGUCUU
Molecule: ribosomal RNA, 464 nt
Filed under: uncultured Thiobacillus sp.
Lineage: Bacteria; Pseudomonadati; Pseudomonadota; Betaproteobacteria; Nitrosomonadales; Thiobacillaceae
Description: bacterial SSU rRNA
Rfam family: Bacterial small subunit ribosomal RNA
Source: RNAcentral